This 442-nucleotide ribosomal RNA is filed under the name uncultured bacterium. RNAcentral describes it as "bacterial SSU rRNA". It matches the Rfam family "Bacterial small subunit ribosomal RNA", at positions 29 to 507 of the family's 1533-position model. The record is from RNAcentral.
AAUGAACGUUGGCGGCAGGCCUAACACAUGCAAGUCGAGGGAGAAGCAAUUUUCGGAUUGUGGAGACCGGCGGACGGGUGAGUAAUACAUGGAAAUCUGCCUUACACUGGGGGAUAACUACUGGAAACAGUAGCUAAUACCGCAUACGCCAUAUUGGGAAAGCUCCGGCGGUGUAAGAUGAGUCCAUGCCUGAUUAGCUAGUUGGUAGGGUAAAAGCCUACCAAGGCGACGAUCAGUAGCUGGUUUGAGAGGAUGAUCAGCCACACUGGGACUGAGACACGGCCCAGACUCCUACGGGAGGCAGCAGUGAGGAAUAUUGGACAAUGGGCGCAAGCCUGAUCCAGCCAUGCCGCGUGAGUGAAGACGGCCUUCGGGUUGUAAAGCUCUUUCAGCAGGGAGGAAAAUGACGUUACCUGCAGAAGAAGUCCCGGCUAACUCCGUG